Molecule: unclassified non-coding RNA, 241 nt
Filed under: uncultured Mycena
Lineage: Eukaryota; Fungi; Basidiomycota; Agaricomycetes; Agaricales; Tricholomataceae
Description: sequence contains ITS2
Source: RNAcentral
ACUUCUCAACCUUUUAGCUGCUUUGUUGCGGUUAAUGGGUUGGAUGUGAGGGUUUGCUGGCUUCCUUCAGUGGAUGGUCUGCUCCCUUUAAAUGCAUUAGUGGGAUCCUUUGUGGAUCGCUAUGCACUUUAGUGUGAUAGUUUAUCUACGCUAUUGUGCUGGUCUACAAAACCUGUGGGAACCUGCUUAUAACUGUCCUUCAUUGUGACAAACUGUGCGCACUUGUGUGUACAAAUUUGAC